GACUCUUCGCGAAGAACAGUUGCGAUUCGACGCUCUUUCCUGCAGGAAUUUGUGUUUCCGGGCGUCGCUAUUUUACGAACAUAAUCGCGUAAGGUUUUUGCACCUGAAGUUGUUGGAAGUUGCGUCAGUUUUGCGUGAAUAAACUUGUUUGCAUUUUGUCACCAUCAAGAGCCAACUUGUUCCGACAGCCAAUCGAAGCCUCAGUACCUCAUCUGCCUGCCUUCAGAUCAGCUCCUCUACACUCAAAGUUUAUGUCAGUAGAGGAUGAAGGAAUUAUAAGAGUAAGUACUAUUUCAAGAAUAUUCCCUAUGUUUUCAAUCCCCAUGAGGUUGAGAAAGAAGACAAGCCAAAGACACAGCGAGUGAUUAAUAAAAUUAUUUAUUUUGUAAUUUGUUAUGUAUAUAAAUAGCUUAAAGCAUU
Dendroctonus ponderosae (mountain pine beetle) is the source of this 420-nucleotide long non-coding RNA. RefSeq lists it as uncharacterized. Lineage: Eukaryota; Metazoa; Arthropoda; Insecta; Coleoptera; Curculionidae. The record is from RefSeq and is a predicted model, not a curated record. The transcript is spliced from 3 exons.